This 84-nucleotide transfer RNA is filed under the name Spirochaetia bacterium. Its description in RNAcentral is "tRNA-Leu". It matches the Rfam family "tRNA". Rfam says of the family: Transfer RNA (tRNA) molecules are approximately 80 nucleotides in length. The record is from RNAcentral. Lineage: Bacteria; Pseudomonadati; Spirochaetota; Spirochaetia. RNAcentral also lists the same sequence under 1 other name.
GCGGCGAUGGUGAAAUUGGUAGACACGUUAGCUUGAGGGGCUAAUGGAAGUAAUUCCAUGAAGGUUCAAGUCCUUUUCGCCGCA